GAACGCACCUUGCGCCCUUUGGCUAUUCCGAAGGGCAUGCCUGUUUGAGUAUCAUGAACACCUCAACUCUCAUGGUUUGCCAUGAUGAGCUUGGACUUUGGGGGUCUUGCUGGCUUAUGGUCAGCUCCUCUUAAACGAAUCAGCUUGCCAGUGUUUGGUGGCAUCGCAGGUGUGAUAACUAUCUACGCUUGUGGUUUUCCAUCAGGUAACCUUCAGUGAUGGAGGUUCGCUGGGGCUCAUAAAGGUCUCUCCUCAGCGAGGACAGCUUUUUGAACGUUUGAUCUCAAAUCAGGUAGGACUACCCGCUGAACUUAAG
This 316-nucleotide unclassified non-coding RNA is filed under the name uncultured Thelephoraceae. Its description in RNAcentral is "sequence contains 5.8S rRNA gene". The record is from RNAcentral. Lineage: Eukaryota; Fungi; Basidiomycota; Agaricomycetes; Thelephorales; Thelephoraceae.